Triticum aestivum (bread wheat) is the source of this 135-nucleotide non-coding RNA. NCBI's taxonomy places the organism in Eukaryota, Viridiplantae, Streptophyta, Magnoliopsida, Poales, Poaceae. The record is from Rfam.
UUUGUACUCCCUCCGUCCCAAAAUUGUUGUCUUAAAUUUGUCUAAAUACGGAUGUAUCUAGUUACAUUUUAGUGUUAGAUACAUCUGUAUCUAAACAAAUGUAAGACAAGAAUUUUGGGAUGGAGGGAAUACUGC